This 25-nucleotide non-coding RNA is filed under the name Cricetulus griseus (Chinese hamster). Lineage: Eukaryota; Metazoa; Chordata; Mammalia; Rodentia; Cricetidae. The record is from RNAcentral.
CAUUUUUACUGGAAUUGUGGGGAGC